UUGGACAUCUCAUGAUCAAUCCCUUGCUCUUUUUUAUUUUUAGAUCCUCUUCUCCUCCUUCUCUAUUCCUCCUCUUGAUCCUCUCUUACUUUGGAGUGUCCAAGGUACUUGAAGAAGGAGAAACAAAUCAGCUAUCGAAGUUGCUUGCACACUAGCACCUCUAAGUUCUUAAUCUAUACCUGUCUUCACGUGAAUCUUUCUGUAGAGGCUAGAUGACUCUGUGUGGCUGUGAGCGACCUGAGGAAUAUCUUCUCCAAU
Molecule: long non-coding RNA, 258 nt
Filed under: Elaeis guineensis (African oil palm)
Lineage: Eukaryota; Viridiplantae; Streptophyta; Magnoliopsida; Arecales; Arecaceae
Description: long non-coding RNA (EGUI_LNC049445)
Source: RNAcentral